AGGUACCUCAGAUGAGUGGAAUUAUGCAGUAUUUGUCCUUUCAUGUGUACAACUAAUUUGACAGGCAGUAUGAUAAGGAACAAUCUGAAUGACACGUAAACAGGAGGGGGUAAAUUCCAAGCACAGCCUGAAUGAGAAGUAUAACUCAUUUCCCGUAACCUAGAUGCCUUUUUAACACAUCUAUGCAGUCUCCAUGUGAAACCAGGUGCUGUUCCCAAAGGAGAAAACACUGCCCUCCAGUGGUCUUCAAUGAAGAAAUGGAAAUAGUUUCAGGUGGAAACCAGGCUUCUUGGAAGAAUUCAAACUAUGCCAAAUGGUCUGAUUUCACCAUAGAGAAGGAGUGAUUCAUGGAAAGGACUUAAUUUCUCCAUUUUCUGGAAUCGACAUAUAAGAGCUUUUUAGUUAUUUUAAAGUUCUUCCUGUACAGUGUAUUGUUGUGUUCCAUGAAACAGACAAAACUCAGCAAGACAACAAAGACUUAAUCUGUAAGAGAAGAAUGUUAUACUAUUAAUUGCCAAUUUGCAUAUGUGUGCAGCUGCUGUUUUGGCUCUGAACUCAAUCCGAUAAGCUUGCUGGAGGUAUCGCAGAGCACUUGGCAGCUUUCCUAUUUGAAAAGAAAGCCUCUCCCCUCUACAGAACAGCUGAUCGUCUAUCAGCGAUAGACCCUGAUGGCGUG
This 676-nucleotide non-coding RNA is filed under the name Pongo abelii (Sumatran orangutan). The record is from RNAcentral. Lineage: Eukaryota; Metazoa; Chordata; Mammalia; Primates; Hominidae.